GACGAACGCUGGCGGCGUGCCUAAUACAUGCAAGUCGAGCGGAGCUUAUCCUUCGGGGUAAGCUUAGCGGCGGACGGGUGAGUAACACGUAGGCAACCUGCCCCUUAGCCUGGGAUAACUACCGGAAACGGUAGCUAAUACCGGAUAAUUUCUUUUUUCUCCUGAAGAGAGAAUGAAAGGCGGAGCAAUCUGCCAUUAAGGGAUGGGCCUGCGGCGCAUGAGCUAGUUGGUGGGGUAACGGCUCACCAAGGCGACGAUGCGUAGCCGACCUGAGAGGGUGAACGGCCACACUGGGACUGAGACACGGCCCAGACUCCUACGGGAGGCAGCAGUAGGGAAUCUUCCGCAAUGGGCGAAAGCCUGACGGAGCAACGCCGUGUGAGUGAUGAAGGUUUUCGGAUCGUAAAGCUCUGUUGCCAGGGAAGAACGUCCGGUAGAGUAACUGCUACCGGAGUGACGGUACCUGAGAAGAAAGCCCCGGCUAACUACGUGCCAGCAGCCGCGGUAA
Molecule: ribosomal RNA, 508 nt
Filed under: uncultured bacterium
Lineage: Bacteria
Description: partial 16S ribosomal RNA
Rfam family: Bacterial small subunit ribosomal RNA
Source: RNAcentral